GCGAAAUAGUCGGGGAGCCGAUGCAGAUUCUGCAUCGGCUGAGAUCGAAAUUCGAGACCCGUCGAACCUGAUUCAGUUAAUACUGACGUAGGGAACUAUGAGCACUUUGUC
Molecule: non-coding RNA, 111 nt
Organism: Vibrio anguillarum 775
Lineage: Bacteria; Pseudomonadati; Pseudomonadota; Gammaproteobacteria; Vibrionales; Vibrionaceae
Source: Rfam